Eucalyptus grandis is the source of this 1253-nucleotide long non-coding RNA. RefSeq lists it as uncharacterized. NCBI's taxonomy places the organism in Eukaryota, Viridiplantae, Streptophyta, Magnoliopsida, Myrtales, Myrtaceae. The transcript has 3 exons. The record is from RefSeq and is a predicted model, not a curated record.
AUUUUGUUGGGUAGUUUGAUCACGACUUCUGAGGGAUGGCAACUACUUCCUUCUAAUUGUCAUGGGGUGUUCCACGUAAGCACUUUAUUUUGCUGGAACUGUAAUGGAUCAGUUGGGAGAUGUUCUGCAUUGGAUUCGGCAGGUAGUGGUGCUUGUGUGUGGAUUGUUGUGGGGUGCAAUGCCUUUGGUUGGAGGCAUAUGGAUUGUUCUGUGAGUUGAUUGCUUUUCGCGUUCAUGCACCUUUUUAACCUUCCCCUGUUUCUGUGCUAGGAAAGCUUGAAACUCUUGUAGAGGACUAGGCAUCCCCAAGGAUAAAAGAAUGAAGGAAAUCGUCCUUGAAUUUGGAUGAUGGCUUGGUCGUGGAGUGAGAGUUUAGAGCUGCCAAAGCCGUUGACAUCUGCGUGAACGAGAUUAUUCCCUACCACCAGUGCUUGUCCCUUCUCUCUUUCGUCCAAAGGAACCCCAACUCUGUGACGUCCUCCAGACUUGUCCUGGAUGAGAAUUGUUCCCAUUGUGUUUGGGACGCAAGUCUAGUAAGGACUUAAGUUCUUCACAGGUUUAAAAUUACCAAGUAUGGAUGGAAAGUUGAAGUUCACUCUUAAAAAAUACUUAAGUGAAAGAAUCUAAUCGAGCCUAACAAAUCGCAAGAGAGGCACGCAGCAUGGGGGAAGUUUCCAUUUGUAUUUGGAAAUUUGUCAAGUUCCUGUGAUGUACCAUUUGAGAAGGUAAUCUUGUUCGUUUUGAUUUUUUUUCCCUCACUGCGCAUUGCUAGAAACUUCCACCCCAUGCAUAAGCGGGUGUGAUUAUGAUUUUAUGGAUUUGCUAUAGUGGGAUGUUCGUGAGUGGGUCACUACAUGGAUACUAUACUUCUUGAAAGAGAGAUGCUAUGUUGAUUUAUCCAAAGCCAAGAGUGUUCUGUCUCUUUCUGGGUACCCUAAUAGUUGCAUGCAGAUAUCCUUGAAUUGGCUUUUUGUGUUGCUUUUGAAUUGGAGGAGGGAAUUGAGGCUAUCGUUUCAUUUGAGUUUUGAGUAUGGUGAACUAUAUUUGAAGUAACUACAAUACAAGCACUUUCUCUUCAUUACAGUUUGAUCCCUUGUGGUUUAACUAUUUUCCACACUGUUCAUUUGAUGAACCGGAUGAGAUGCUAGAGACAGAGUGAAGUCUCUUCCAGGUUUCAUUUGAAGUAUCAAAGCAACAAUGAGAAAGUGUUUGGGUUUCGCCUUAUAUGCAAGCAAAUAGAGGAUGGUCUAAGG